AGCGAACGCUGGCGGCAGGCCUAACACAUGCAAGUCGAACGAACCUUUCGGGGUUAGUGGCGGACGGGUGAGUAACACGUGGGAACGUGCCUUUAGGUUCGGAAUAACUCAGGGAAACUUGUGCUAAUACCGAAUGUGCCCUGCGGGGGAAAGAUUUAUCGCCUUUAGAGCGGCCCGUGUCUUUUUAGCUAGUUGGUUGAGGUAAUGGCGCACCAAGGCGACGAUAAGUAGCUGGUCUGAGAGGAUGAUCAGCCACAUUGGUACUGAGACACGGCCCAAACUCCUACGGGAGGCAGCAGUGGGGAAUCUUGCGCAAUGGGCGAAAGCCUGAAGCAGCCAUGCCGCGUGAAUGAUGAAGGUCUUAGGAUUGUGAAAUUCUUUCACCGGGGACGAUAAUGACGGUACCCGGAGAAGAAGCCCCGGCUAACUUCGUG
RNAcentral lists this ribosomal RNA (434 nucleotides) under uncultured bacterium. RNAcentral's name for it is "partial 16S ribosomal RNA". It matches the Rfam family "Bacterial small subunit ribosomal RNA", at positions 29 to 507 of the family's 1533-position model. The record is from RNAcentral.